UACAGAGGUGGCAAGCGUUGUUCGGAAUUACUGGGCGUAAAGGGCGCGUAGGCGGCCUUCUAAGUCAGACGUCAAAUCCCCAGGCUUAACUUGGGAACUGCGUCUGAUACUGGGAGGCUUGAGUGCGGGAGAGGGAUGUGGAAUUCCAGGUGUAGCGGUGAAAUGCGUAGAUAUCUGGAGGAACACCGGUGGCGAAGGCGGCAUCCUGGACCGACACUGACGCUGAGGCGCGAAAGCUAGGGGAGCAAACGGG
RNAcentral lists this ribosomal RNA (253 nucleotides) under uncultured bacterium. RNAcentral's name for it is "partial 16S ribosomal RNA". It matches the Rfam family "Bacterial small subunit ribosomal RNA", at positions 524 to 776 of the family's 1533-position model. The record is from RNAcentral.